RNAcentral lists this ribosomal RNA (496 nucleotides) under uncultured bacterium. RNAcentral describes it as "partial 16S ribosomal RNA". It matches the Rfam family "Bacterial small subunit ribosomal RNA", at positions 29 to 507 of the family's 1533-position model. The record is from RNAcentral.
AUGAACGCUGGCGGCGUGCCUAAUACAUGCCAGUCGAGCGAACGGACGAGAAGCUUGCUUCUCUGAUGUUAGCGGCGGACGGGUGAGUAACACGUGGAUAACCUACCUAUAAGACUGGGAUAACUUCGGGAAACCGUAGCUAAUACCGGAUAAUAUUUUGAACCGCAUGGUUCAAAAGUGAAAGACGGUCUUGCUGUCACUUAUAGAUGGAUCCGCGCUGCAUUAGCUAGUUGGUAAGGUAACGGCUUACCAAGGCAACGAUGCAUAGCCGACCUGAGAGGGUGAUCGGCCACACUGGAACUGAGACACGGUCCAGACUCCUACGGGAGGCAGCAGUAGGGAAUCUUCCGCAAUGGGCGAAAGCCUGACGGAGCAACGCCGCGUGAGUGAUGAAGGUCUUCGGAUCGUAAAACUCUGUUAUUAGGGAAGAACAUAUGUGUAAGUAACUGUGCACAUCUUGACGGUACCUAAUCAGAAAGCCACGGCUAACUACGUG